UACUUCGAUGAGAGAGCAAAGGAAGAUCCAGAUUUCUUCUACAGGAUAAGGUUGGACGAUGAGGACCGUGUCAGGAACAUGUAUUGGGUGGAUGGUGCUGCAAGGAGAGCCUACAAACAUUUCCGAGAUUGCAUUUCAUUCGACGCGACGUACCUCACCAAUAUGUACAAGAUGUCAUGCGCUCCGUUCAUAGAAAUAAAUAACCACAAUCAGUCAUUGCAGUUCGGCUGCGGGCUCGUUCGGAACAAAGACACGGAUGGGUACGUCUGGUUGUUCAAGACCUUCUUGGAGUGCAUGGAUGGACUUGCGCCGAUGAACAUAAUAACAGACCAGGAUUUCAGCAUGCGUGCAGGCAUAGAGGAGGUCUUUCCGUUGGCAGUGCACAGGCACUGCAGGUGGCACAUUAUAAAGAAGGCUGAGGAGACGCUAGGACCGUUCUUUGCUGACCGUCCAGAGCUGCACAAGGCAUUCGAGCUGUGCCUGGACCACAGCUUGACGGUCGAGGAGUUUGAAAGGAGCUGGAUGGCCAUGGUUGAAACACAUCAAGUCCAAGACAACGAGACGCUUGCUAGCCCGUGGGAGAAGCGAAUGUACUGGGUGCCCGCCUACUUCAUGCAAUGCUUCUUCCCCUUUCUGCAGACUACGCAGCGCAGCGAGGGGUUCAAUGCUGUUUUGAAGCGAUACGUCAGUCCUGGCAACUCAUUGCUACAGUUUGCCAAGCAGUACACAGCUUUGCAAUAA
This 741-nucleotide ribosomal RNA is filed under the name Triticum aestivum (bread wheat). RNAcentral describes it as "partial small subunit ribosomal RNA". Lineage: Eukaryota; Viridiplantae; Streptophyta; Magnoliopsida; Poales; Poaceae. The record is from RNAcentral.